AUUUGCUCUUUAGUGGUAAAAUUCACACCACAUUUAUGCCAAUUAGACCCAGCCUUGAACACUUUGUGGUCUAAAGAAAACCAAAAUUGAAGGGAAAACUAAUGGUACCAUUUAAUUGAAAUUCCCUAGGCAUAAUAUAGUGUGAUAAGAUAAAAUGUGUAUUGCUAUAAAGGUAUGUUUUGCUUAUUUUGUAAACAAGGAUUAUAUUCUGCUUUGGAGUGCAAGGAGAAAGUCACAGUCUAGUUUUAUGAAGACCAAACUAGAGAAAAUCGAGUUAUCUUAAAGUGUAUGACAUCUCCACAAAUGAAUGUUUAUGGCUUUACACUUGGAGUGUUCUUGGAACACUCUUCAUAGCAAAUCCUCCCUCAGAAGACCCCCACCUGGCAUCAGAACAAACGUGGUGGAAAUCCUGAAAUGCUUCUGGCUCUGGGAUGAAGGCUAAGUCCUUAGGAUGGCUGGCAUUUGUAACUCCUACUGUAGUUCACACCCAUGUGGGCUCAGCACUAGCACAGUGCUUUUCUGAUGUCAUAGAUGAACGGAUGGCAUACAGAAAGUAAGGAGCUUCUCAGGUCUUGGCAGAGUUGCAGGUAGUUUGACUAAAGUUGGACUCCUUAACUGGUGGUGGCUUAAUAGAUAAAACAUUGAAUUUUCUUAUCAAUUUAAAGAAGAAUCUCAUUCCUUUUUGAAGAAAAAACCCCAAAGAUAACUUCCCUGGGGUAGGGUGGGGUGUCUUAGAUUGUUUUUCAGAGUUAGUCAUUCAAAAAUUUAGUCUAAAUAUUCACCCAAUGAGUUUUAUUCCUCCCUUCCAAAUAGCAAUAAAAAUUUUAAAAUAGUCUGGGUUUAUGGAAAACAAACUCCGUAAACAUCAACCUAUUCUUUGUUAUAAGUAAGAAAAAUAUCCAUCUUAAACUGCAACCCUUAAUACAAGAAGAUCUUAUUUAUAAAAUGUAUUUUUAUAUCGUGGCAAAAAUACUAUCCUAAUCCAAAUACAAGUCCAUAUACUUAGUCUGUACUAAUUUUAUGUGUCAGAGGGUUUUUCUUAAGUUCUCUAGCUCAAAAAAAAAUCAAAACUGCAUCUUAAAGAACUCAAAAUUACUGAAGAAAAAAAUUAAUAUAGAAAAAACUUUUGUCUAGACAAUUUAAAUAACUCAAUAGAGCACCUGAUCUUUACUUGAAGCCUAAUAGGGGGCUGAGACCUCAAGGACUUCACUGGCCUUUCUGAUACGGCUAGCCUCAAUAAAUGGAAAUGCAAUAAUUGUGGCUAAAUAUAGCCAAGUGUGCCAGUUUGGGCGUUCAUUCAUUGUUAUAUAAUAUUAUGAUCCUGGGACCAUAAGGAGCAUAUGUCUAGCUCUUGAUAGUUCUAUGUUCUACCAGGAGGCAUUGCAGCAGCAUAAGCCCUCAUGUUUUAAGGUCUAACUUUUCUUUCUGAUAUACCUAAAUUUUAAAGACUUUUUAGUACAUUAAGUUUAUGGUUGUCCCUAACUACUGAGUAGUAAAUUUAGCCUACUAAUUGCUUUUCUGUAUUUUGCCUUAAUAAUAGUAGUUAACAUUUACUGAAUAUUUUUAUGUGCCAGGAGUUGUUCUAAGUCCUUUAAUUAUAUUAGUUUAUUUAGUCCUCAUUUAAAUAAUUAAUUCUAUGUGCCAAAUUCCAUUUAUUAUCUCCAUUUACUAGAUGUGAAGACCCAGUUAUAAUGUUAUAUAACCCCCUAAGUCACACUUUGAGCCACUAUGCUAUGUUGCCUUAUACUUUAGAUUUUUAAGCCUAAAAUUAUUCUAUUAAUAAAAAGGAAGGUCAUAUGAAGUAAUUGUUUAGCAGUUGAUUCUAUUUUAAAUAAAAGGAACAAACCUUUGUAUAAUACUCUCUAUGUUCCAAGCCCAUUAUAAGCACUUUACACAAAUAUUAGUUCAUUUAAUCUUUACUCCAGUCCUGUAAGAUAGGGACAUUAUUAUUCCUAUAGUGUGGAAAAGGAAAUUGAGACACAGAGAGACUAUGUAACUUGUCCAUGGUCACCCAGCUGGUACAUGACAGAAAUUCAGGGAAAAAAUACCAUCACACCAAUUGUUGCAAUUAUUUUAAUUUAACAUUCGAGUCCUGCCACUGCUGUUUGUCUCAGAAUAAAUUGUUCCAUCUUUCUAAAUCUUAGAAACCUCAUUUAUAAAUUAAAGGUGGGGGGAUUCUAUCAUCUAUAAGGCCCUUUCAAAUACUCUUAUUUAUUGUGUACAAAAACCCCUGAAAAGUCACUUACAAAAAAACUUGUUCAUGCCCGUCUGAAGAUUUACGAACUCCAGCUUUUUAUCUGACUGUGCAUUCUGACAAUUUUCUGCAUUUCUCUAAGAAUGGUCUGGAAAGGGAUCUGGCAGGAAAUAAAGAAUAUAUAAAGUAUUUUGAUGGUCUCCAGAAAUGCCCAUUUCAACUCAGCAUCUGCCGACAGGUCUACCUAAUCUUCCAAACUCUGUGUAAAUCCUGGAUCCACCAUUUACCAGCUGUGUAACCCUGGACAACAAUUCCAUCUUUCUGACCUCAGUGUCUUUCUCUGCAAAACAGCGGUAAGAAUGAUCCUACUUCAAUAGAGUUGCUGUGAGGAUUCACUGAGAUCAUGUGUACCAAGCUCCUACAAUAGUACUGAACCCACAGUAAGUACUGAGUGAAAAUUAGCAUUAUUGCAGAUUUCUGCUCCUAUGAAAGUUACGAUUGUGAAUUACUACACUUAUACACUUCCUCUGAAGUCUAAAGAAAUCACAGGCUCCUCCCAAGAUUUGGAAAAUUGAGCUCAUCUUUGUCUAUCUUCAGAAAAAAAAUCUAGUUAAAUUGUUCAAUGGUUAAGUUAGAUAUUAUCUGAUAUGGAACUAAGUUUGUGAGAUAUAAACAGUAUUCUGUCCACCCCUCCUUAGUUAAGCUAAGAGGUAUUAGCUUUAUUAUUUGCUAAAUGUCACUUAGCAUUUGAUAAAUGUAACAUUUACAGUGCAUUCUCCGAGGACUGGAAACAGUAUUGUAGAACACCAGAACCUGUUUUCCCCUUGAAGUAACACGCUAUCUCAGUAUAUAAAUUACCCAGUACCCAAGGUAAUGGAGAAGAAAACCUAAGGAAGUUUGACAUUUACUUUGGAAGUGUGAUAAAGCAAUUGAGACUGUUGAAAUUUAACACUACCUUGAGGUCUUAUUACACUUGCAUGUCACUCCUUAGUGCAAACUCACUUUUGCUUUAUAGAAGAGCCCAAUAUAUUAAUCUACAGCCUUAAAGUGAGUUACCGGUUUAAUGCAGAUCCAAUCUGAGAAUAAAUUAGGCCCUUUUAAAGUGUAUUACAGAAUGUUGAGCUAAUGGUAAUUGACGACGUAUAUUCACUCUUUGCCAAGUUGUAGGUACAAAUGUGAUAUGAUUACAUCCAGGACAAGAGCCUGAAUUUAAGUAAGGCUUUUAGAGCUGAAGAUCAUAGAGAUUAUAUCAUCUACCAGAGGCCCAGAGGGAUUAAGUGAUUUGUCUAAGGUUAUACAGAUAAUAGGUGGAUAUCCCAGAUUUCAGACUAGACUUUCUUGAGCUCAAGUUCAAGGAAGGUCCAUUCUUCUACACUAUGCAUUCAGCAAUAUAUUACAAUGGUAAUAAUAAUUACAAUAACCCCCAUCUAUUGAAUACAUCCUGUGGGCCAAGGGUUCUGGUAAACUCCACACAUAUAAACCCUCCUCUGACCCUGACCCUGUUCUAUUCCUCUCAUAGCUCCAUGAGAUAUGUCUGGUUCUCUUCAUUUUACAGAAAGAUGACUGAGACUCAGAGUUUGUGACUUGUACAAGGCCUCACAGCUAGGAGAUGCCAACAGCUGGGUCCAAUCUCAGCUCGGAAUCUGCACUCUGUCUACAGGACUAGCGCUUUGCCCAAGGAGACCAAAAUGAAGACAUCUUGUCUCCUGGUCUUGAAAAUUAACUAAUUCACUUUUAAUGACAUCAAGUGUAAACAAUCUACCAAAUUAUUAAAACAUUAUCUUUUUGUCUAUGUAGGCCAUGGAUCAAGACCAUUAACUUAUAAUCAGUGAUAGCCAAGAGGAUGGGAAGAGAAUAUUAAGCCUGGUGCUCUGCAAAUUAAUACUUGCAGGUAAAUGAGAAGUAUCAUAGGCAUAUUACUAUUUACUUAACGUUUCAUUCUAUUUGAAAGAGAAAUUCCCAAAUGUUAAAUACUACCCUACAUUUUAAGCUUAAAAAUACGCUGGACAUGCGACAAUGGUGCUGAGUACUUUGGGGGAAGAUCACAACAGUCCUGGUAGCAGUGUCACAGCAAAAUAUUUCAGAGGUACCAGAUGAGCUAGCUCCAAGGCAAAUGAGGCAAUAUUAUGUUUAACUGUUUGUUCGGAAACUUCUUUUAUUAAAAAAGAUUUUAAAUAUUAAUGCUAUUUUCAAUACAGGUGUGAUAACACUCAAUAAAGCAUGGUGUACUUG
This 4426-nucleotide long non-coding RNA is filed under the name Homo sapiens (human). Its description in RNAcentral is "HSALNT0247406". The record is from RNAcentral. Lineage: Eukaryota; Metazoa; Chordata; Mammalia; Primates; Hominidae.